UACCGGAAUCUCUUGGAUACAAAUUUCCUUCUUGGGCUUACCUAGUUAGAGAGAAUAGCAAGAUUAAGGUACUAAAAAAUUAAAAAAACUUACCAUCAAGGAAUAAGUACUAAAUGAUUUUAUUAAUUUGUAAAUGGCUCCUCAUUGGGAGGAUUAAAUACAAGCUUCUUGUUAAAGCAAUCUAUGGUGACGUGAUGUACCGCUAACCAAUCCAUUCAUAAGAUUAUAUCAAAAU
RNAcentral lists this long non-coding RNA (235 nucleotides) under Carica papaya (papaya). Its description in RNAcentral is "long non-coding RNA (CPAP_LNC006456)". Lineage: Eukaryota; Viridiplantae; Streptophyta; Magnoliopsida; Brassicales; Caricaceae. The record is from RNAcentral.